Molecule: transfer RNA, 71 nt
Filed under: Anniella pulchra
Lineage: Eukaryota; Metazoa; Chordata; Lepidosauria; Squamata; Anniellidae
Description: tRNA-Tyr
Source: RNAcentral
UGAUAAGAAAAGGAAUCUAACCUCUCUAAAUAGGACUACAGCCCACCGCCUAAACACUCGACCAUCUUACC